CUUUAAUUUAAAUCAGGACCAGGCUAAUUCUACUUAAAUAAAUCCAAAUUUUAAAAAUGGCUUUAUGAGACUUUGCUUAACUUCAGAUUAAUUAAUUAUAGACUAGGGAGUCCCAGACUAGGGUAAUUAAGGACUAACCAGUUAAUCUUUGAAGCCUGAUUAGAUUAACAAUGUGCCCCUGGUGCUGACCUGAGGAUGCUUCAAAAACCAGGGAUGGGACACUAAUACAUACGCAUUAUGUGGAAUUGGAGCAAGUCACCUAAACAAAACAAUGGAUGGAGGUAAAAGAAAAUGUUCAAAGAAUUUCAAUGACUUAGAAGAAAAAUUUGCUUCAAAAGGUUAACGAGGACAAACAGCAUGAUUCAUCAACAGAAAACAAGAAAAAGAAUGCCUGGACUACCAUUUGUAAUGAAUUCAACUCAAAUGAAAAAAGUUGAACAAAAAGGAUGCUACAACAACUUCAGGUCCUGUGGAAAAACAUACAAAUCUACUUAACAGUCUUGAUAGGCUCCCCACGAGCCUAUCAAGACUGUUAAGGCCAGCGACCGAGAAAAAAAAAGAAAAAAAAGCUGGGGGACUUGUUGACUGGGAUCAUUGAUAGCCAGCAACCCCUCGAAGGUAUCCCCGAUAAUGACCAUUUGGACAGUUAAGAUGGGGCACCGUUCCAAUCCUUAUUUGAUCACCGUAGCUUGGAGGGGACUUGUCUUAACAGGAAGGUCAGCUCGUUACAUCUGCAGCAGCCAGGAGGGAAGAUUGUGUCGCUAAUCCGGGCCGGAGGACAAAGAGGCUGCGCAUGCAUGAGAAACUGCCCAUGGAAUUUCAUGAGCGAAAACUAAUGUAUUUAAAAGGGCAUGAUAUGAAGAUGCAAAUCCUACAUGUUGAGUUGGCUAUGAAGGAGAAGGAAAGAAACAUGAAGCAGCAGCAGUUGAGGGU
RNAcentral lists this long non-coding RNA (933 nucleotides) under Salmo salar (Atlantic salmon). RNAcentral describes it as "lncRNA (ENSSSAG00000085928.1)". Lineage: Eukaryota; Metazoa; Chordata; Actinopteri; Salmoniformes; Salmonidae. The record is from RNAcentral.